This 406-nucleotide ribosomal RNA is filed under the name uncultured bacterium. RNAcentral's name for it is "bacterial SSU rRNA". It matches the Rfam family "Bacterial small subunit ribosomal RNA", at positions 355 to 776 of the family's 1533-position model. The record is from RNAcentral.
UGGGGAAUCUUGCGCAAUGGGCGAAAGCCUGACGCAGCAACGCCGCGUGCGGGAUGACGGCCUUCGUGGUUGUAAACCGCUUUCAGCAGGGACGAAAAUGACGGUACCUGCAGAAGAAGCCCCGGCUAACUACGUGCCAGCAGCCGCGGUAAUACGUAGGGGGCAAGCGUUGUCCGGAUUCAUUGGGCGUAAAGAGCUCGUAGGCGGUUCAGUAAGUCGGGUGUGAAAGCUCCGAGCUCAACUCGGAGAGGCCACCCGAUACUGCUGUGACUUGAGUCCAGUAGAGGAGCGUGGAACUCCUGGUGUAGCGGUGGAAUGCGCAGAUAUCAGGAAGAACACCUGCAGCGAAGGCGGCGCUCUGGGCUGGAACUGACGCUGAGGAGCGAAAGCGUGGGUAGCAAACAGG